Molecule: long non-coding RNA, 650 nt
Organism: Suricata suricatta (meerkat)
Lineage: Eukaryota; Metazoa; Chordata; Mammalia; Carnivora; Herpestidae
Exons: 3
Source: RefSeq, a predicted model, not a curated record
GUCACUUCUCUAGCAUCUAUGAUAUAACAGAGGCUUUAGCUCAAUGCAGAUCCAACCUUCCCCAAGCUAGGCAUUCAAAGAAAUUACCUUGUGAUUCAACAGCCAAAAAUUAAUGGUAAAGCACCUAUAACUCUCUCUCUACAUAUAUGUUUUUCAGCAAACCUAUGGAAAUUCUGCCUGAUUAGGUUUUUAAAACCUUUAUAUGAAAUGCUAGUCAAAAGGCAUACAGAUUUUUCUGGAAAAGGAACAACAGAUUAAUUUUAAUCCAUUUGGUUCUAAUAUAUGAUGGAAAAUCGAGGAAUAAGGAAGCCAAAGUGAGAUCGAAUGCCAUAACAUCUUGAGAGAGCAAAGGGAAGAAAUGAUAUUGUAGGAGCACAGAGGGAGCUGCAUCCUGGAGUCCUGUGGGGCUGCCCAGAACAGAAUGCUGAGGACUAAGCCACUGACCUCACUUUCUGUGCAUUGGCCAAACACAGCUGGAAACCAGAGUCCCAGGCAGUCCAGGACUUAAUGCUACCUGACAUAAUUGUGUAUCAACCACAUUGACCCUUGAACAACACAGAAGUCAGGAGCACUGAUACUCCUAUGCAAUAAAAAAUCCACGUAUAAUUCUUGACUCCCCCCAAACUUUACUCGUAUCCUACUAUGGACCG